GCGAUCUCAGCAGUGGCUUUGUUCCCAGCAUCGCUCCUCGCUAACUCCAACCAUCUCUGUACAAAAAAAAGUAUUUACUCCUUUUUGACUCGACCUUAUUAUUAUUUUUUUUUGUCAUGGACAAAUUUGACUCAGCCUUUUGUUACAUAAGUUUAACCAGUUACACGUUACACUGUAAUAUAUUCAUUCUAAAAAUAUAUAUUUCCAAUGCCUAAAGGGCCUAAUUCAGGCCCAAUCAUCAUAA
Molecule: long non-coding RNA, 244 nt
Filed under: Capsella grandiflora
Lineage: Eukaryota; Viridiplantae; Streptophyta; Magnoliopsida; Brassicales; Brassicaceae
Description: long non-coding RNA (CGRA_LNC000843)
Source: RNAcentral